CAGGCAACAGUAAAAGAGACCCCGAUAAAUCCUUUGAGGACACUUUUUGUGAGGGCUGGAAGAGCAAGUGAAAGGUACCUGAGGAACACGCCUUUCAGCAGAGCUGAACACAGGGCCAGGACUGGUGGCAUGACCAAGGGGCAGAAGCUGUUGCUCUUCUUACUCCUUGGAGAUGGCCUUAGGGUCCCCAGGAUGACAGCCUUUUAGAGUGCCUCACUUACAGAGCUGCUGUUAGCUGGUGUGAAGUGGACCCCAUUAGCACCUGAAAAAACAGCCUUGGAAAGGGAGUGCCAUUCAUGGGUAUGUGGUGUAUUCUUAGUUUUUUGCAACGAGACUUAGCAGGCAUUAAUGUAGAAGUGGUCUGUGACCCCACACCUGUAGCCCACUGG
This 389-nucleotide long non-coding RNA is filed under the name Calidris pugnax (ruff). RNAcentral describes it as "lncRNA (ENSCPUG00000017166.1)". Lineage: Eukaryota; Metazoa; Chordata; Aves; Charadriiformes; Scolopacidae. The record is from RNAcentral.